RNAcentral lists this ribosomal RNA (384 nucleotides) under Ptyodactylus hasselquistii. RNAcentral describes it as "partial 12S ribosomal RNA". It matches the Rfam family "Bacterial small subunit ribosomal RNA", at positions 796 to 1382 of the family's 1533-position model. Lineage: Eukaryota; Metazoa; Chordata; Lepidosauria; Squamata; Phyllodactylidae. The record is from RNAcentral.
UUAAUCGUCAACACAAGUGGCCACUACAAACCGCCGCUCGCCAGAGAAGUAUAGGUGAAAAACCAGAAACUCAAAGGACUUGGCGGUGUCCCACAUCAACCUAGAGGAGCCUGUCCCAUAAUCGAUACCCCACGUUAAACCUCACCCACUUUUGCCUCUCAGCCUAUAUACCGCCGUCGCCAGCCUGCCUAAUGAUGGACACACAGCAGGCAAAAUAGUCUUCACUAAUACGUCAGGUCAAGGUGUAGCUAAUAAGUGGGCCUCAGAUGGGCUACAUUUUCUAAAUACAAGAAAACCACCACACGCACUAUGAAACAUAAGCCGCAAGGCGGAUUUAGCAGUAAGCCGAGCAAGACAGCUCAACUGAAAACUGCCCUGGGACAC